Molecule: transfer RNA, 67 nt
Filed under: Potanthus flavus
Lineage: Eukaryota; Metazoa; Arthropoda; Insecta; Lepidoptera; Hesperiidae
Description: tRNA-Ile
Source: RNAcentral
AAUAAAGUGCCUGAUAAAAGGACUAUUCUGAUAGAAUAAAUAAUGUAAUUUAUUUUUACCUUUAUUA